UACGGGGGGGGCAAGCGUUGUUCGGAAUUACUGGGCGUAAAGGGCUCGUAGGCGGCCAACUAAGUCAGACGUGAAAUCCCUCGGCUUAACCGGGGAACUGCGUCUGAUACUGGAUGGCUAGAGUUUGGGAGAGGGAUGCGGAAUUCCAGGUGUAGCGGUGAAAUGCGUAGAUAUCUGGAGGAACACCGGUGGCGAAGGCGGCCCACUGGCUCGACACUGACGCUGAGGUGCGAAAGCGUGGGGAGCAAACAGG
Molecule: ribosomal RNA, 253 nt
Filed under: uncultured bacterium
Lineage: Bacteria
Description: partial 16S ribosomal RNA
Rfam family: Bacterial small subunit ribosomal RNA
Source: RNAcentral